GAUGAACGCUGGCGGCGUGCCUAAUACAUGCAAGUCGAGCGAACGGACGAGAAGCUUGCUUCUCUGAUGUUAGCGGCGGACGGGUGAGUAACACGUGGAUAACCUACCUAUAGACUGGGAUAACUUCGGGAAACCGGAGCUAAUACCGGAGAAUAUUUUGAACCGCAUGGGUCAAAAGUGAAAGACGGUCUUGCUGUCACUUAUAGAUGGAUCCGCGCUGCAUUAGCUAGUUGGUAAGGUAACGGCUUACCAAGGCAACGAUGCAUAGCCGACCUGAGAGGGUGAUCGGCCACACUGGAACUGAGACACGGUCCAGACUCCUACGGGAGGCAGCAGUAGGGAAUCUUCCGCAAUGGGCGAAAGCCUGACGGAGCAACGCCGCGUGAGUGAUGAAGGUCUUCGGAUCGUAAAACUCUGUUAUUAGGGAAGAACAUAUGUGUAAGUACCUGUGCACAUCUUGACGGUACCUAAUCAGAAAGCCACGGCUAACUACGUG
Molecule: ribosomal RNA, 496 nt
Filed under: uncultured bacterium
Lineage: Bacteria
Description: partial 16S ribosomal RNA
Rfam family: Bacterial small subunit ribosomal RNA
Source: RNAcentral